Molecule: long non-coding RNA, 2070 nt
Filed under: Nicotiana tabacum (common tobacco)
Lineage: Eukaryota; Viridiplantae; Streptophyta; Magnoliopsida; Solanales; Solanaceae
Description: long non-coding RNA (NTAB_LNC005914)
Source: RNAcentral
GGAAGAUGCCCGAGCAAAUGUUAUUAAGAUGCAUAAAUCAUGAUCAAGAGUUCUUUAUGCAAUACUGGUAUAAUAUGACUCUUUCUUUACAAUAUCUGCAAAAUGUGGUGUUGUAUCAUACGACUUUUUCUCUACAGUAUGUAUAAAAAUAAUACACAAAAGUGGUGCCUUUCCAGCAAUCAAUCCAGAGCCUCAUUUACAACAUUUUUUCAGCUUGCCUCUUGUUCUACCACAAGGUUGUAUCAUUACUGAUAUCUGAUAUAAAACCUUUGAUGAUAGAGAAGGAGUUCUCUAAGCACGGGCCCGACGUUGUAUUGCAAUAUAUACAAGUUUUAAGUAGCAUUUUUAAUGCAUAAAAAUAGAAAUUCUCCUCAGCUGAAUGCAGGAGAACCAAAGAAAGCGGACUCCGCGCAGAAAGCAAAAUAGCACCGAAUAUACUGAUUGAAACUCGACGGUCCACAUUGCACAAUGCUAUUACUAAUCUUACAUCCUCCAAGGGGACCAAGAACCAAGAAUAUAUUAUCUCUUCACGCCUGCAGAGAUUAAGAAAUUAUUUUGAAAACAGUUACAUCGAGUUUAUUACUAAAAGCAAGCACAAUAGAGUGCCACUAGGCAAUAUGUACAAUGUUUAACAAAUAGAUUCCAGUUUAUAUAGUGAGGCUCUAAACUACUCAUAGAUCCUAUUUAAAUAUCGAACAACGCCUUGUUCAGAUGAAGAUGUAGCAGAAUGCAAUGAAGGAGGACAUAGCCCCUCAAAAAUGUUUAUGAAGGGGAUGCGAUGAUAGAGAUCUGAAGCCAACUUUGGCUGGUUAAUCCGAUGAGUUCAUCGACAAUAUAGUCCUAAUUAGGGGUGUACAUAUGUCGGGUUGGUUCGGAUUUUACAAUUACCAAACCAAACAAAUUGUAUCGGUUUUUAAAUCUAUAGGCCAAACCAAACCAACAAAAGUCGAGUUUUUCAAUAUCGGAUUUUCUCGGGUUUUUCGGGGGUUUUUUUCGAUAAACUUGUGCUCCAAAUAUUUCUAUAGUCCUAAAUACAAUUUUAUCAAUAACAACCAUGUUUUUAUUUUUUAGCAUUGACCCCAACUAUGCUAGUCAAUAGUUUGUAUGGUUCCACUUUAUAAAGGUCUCUACUUUAUAAAUUAUUUUCCACUUUACACCAAAAUACUAAUAAAAGCUUAAAGCAAUUGACCUGUCCAACUUCAAUUGAACCUUAGAUAAAUAAUUAGAAAGAGCAGGUUGGAGUAUCAUGGACAAAUCAAUUGCUUUAAGUAUUGUAAAAAGUCUAAUUUCUUCAACUAUCAAAUCAACCAAACCUUUGAGAAAUAAUGUAAUACAAAAGCUUCUUAAUCGAUUAAAAACCAUGCAUCAACUUUCUUUUAAUUAAUUACCUUAAAGUAGUAAAAAUUUCAAAAAUAAUCAUGAAGUAAAUUGUAGUUAACUAUCCCUCUAAUCAAUCCUCAAAGGUGAGUCUGCAUAUUCCGAAAGAAAAGAAACAAUUAACAUAUUUAAUAUUAAAUAAUAUAAAAAAAAUAACUAUACUCAUUAACAAUUGAAUAUAAAUUAUUACCUUCUUCAACUUGCUCAAUUUUCUGGACUUCCUCUAACAUGUCUUCAAACUUAUAUUCCUUGGAAAUACAUCAAUGUAAGAAAUUAUGUAAGAAAUACAUCACUCUUAAUUUUACAUAGUCCAUAUUAUUUAACCAAAUGAUUCGAAAUAUAAGUAAAAAAGUUUCAAUAUCUUUUUAAGUAACAGUCAAUUACUCAUGUUAAUCAUCUAAGAGAAACAAAAUAAACAAAUGAAUUCGAUAAUAGGGAGGAAUACAACAGAUUUACAAAAAAACUCGCUAAUCGAAAAAAGAAAAAUAUUAGUUAAUUGAGAAAAAGUAAGGCGUAUGUAUGCAGCUAAAAGAUAACAUGUAAAAUGAGAAAGGGAAGAGCCUUACCAAUGAGAGCAAAAGAGAGUUGAUAUGGUUUGAGCUAAUUGGGCGUUUUAGAAUGGAACUAUAGGGUUUCUUGCUUUUGGAGAAGAGGCAAAAUGAUUUCAAUUGUUUAAGUGUUUUAGAACAGCUU